UGGUGGAGUGAUUUGUCUGCUUAAUUGCGAUAACGAACGAGACCUUAACCUGCUAAAUAGUCACGUCAUUUCCGAAUGACGGCGGACUUCUUAGAGGGACUAUCGGAUUUAAACCGAUGGAAGUUUGAGGCAAUAACA
Molecule: ribosomal RNA, 138 nt
Filed under: uncultured eukaryote
Lineage: Eukaryota
Description: partial 18S ribosomal RNA
Rfam family: Eukaryotic small subunit ribosomal RNA
Source: RNAcentral